RNAcentral lists this small RNA (118 nucleotides) under Marmota monax (woodchuck). Lineage: Eukaryota; Metazoa; Chordata; Mammalia; Rodentia; Sciuridae. The record is from RNAcentral.
GCCAGGCACUGUGGUGCAUGCCUGUAAUCCAAGCUGCUCAGGAGGCUGAGGCAGGAGGAUCAGAAGUUCAAAGACAGCCUCAGCAAAAGUGAGGCACCUCAAUGAGACCCUGUCUCUA